This 254-nucleotide unclassified non-coding RNA is filed under the name uncultured fungus. RNAcentral describes it as "sequence contains ITS1, 5.8S rRNA gene". The stretch from base 206 to 254 matches the Rfam family "5.8S ribosomal RNA", at positions 1 to 49 of the family's 154-position model. The record is from RNAcentral. Lineage: Eukaryota; Fungi.
UUUCCGUAGGUGAACCUGCGGAAGGAUCAUUACCGAGUACUGGGAUCUCAGAUCCCUACUCCCACCCAAUGUUAACCAUCUCCUGUUGCUUUGGCGGACCGUCGAUUUAAACCGCCGCCGGCCUUCUGGGCUGGAGAGCGUCCGCCAGAGGAUUUUCAAACGCCUGUCUAACGUGGGUUCUGAGUACAACUUCAAAUGAAACUAAAACUUUCAACAACGGAUCUCUUGGUUCUGGCAUCGAUGAAGAACGCAGC